This 856-nucleotide ribosomal RNA is filed under the name Rhodotorula mucilaginosa. Its description in RNAcentral is "partial large subunit ribosomal RNA". It matches the Rfam family "Eukaryotic large subunit ribosomal RNA", at positions 50 to 928 of the family's 3401-position model. The record is from RNAcentral. Lineage: Eukaryota; Fungi; Basidiomycota; Microbotryomycetes; Sporidiobolales; Sporidiobolaceae.
GCGGAGGAAAAGAAACUAACAAGGAUUCCCCUAGUAGCGGCGAGCGAAGCGGGAAGAGCUCAAAUUUAUAAUCUGGCACCUUCGGUGUCCGAGUUGUAAUCUCUAGAAAUGUUUUCCGCGUUGGACCGCACACAAGUCUGUUGGAAUACAGCGGCAUAGUGGUGAGACCCCCGUAUAUGGUGCGGACGCCCAGCGCUUUGUGAUACAUUUUCGAAGAGUCGAGUUGUUUGGGAAUGCAGCUCAAAUUGGGUGGUAAAUUCCAUCUAAAGCUAAAUAUUGGCGAGAGACCGAUAGCGAACAAGUACCGUGAGGGAAAGAUGAAAAGCACUUUGGAAAGAGAGUUAACAGUACGUGAAAUUGUUGGAAGGGAAACGCUUGAAGUCAGACUUGCUUGCCGAGCAAUCGGUUUGCAGGCCAGCAUCAGUUUUCCGGGAUGGAUAAUGGUAGAGAGAAGGUAGCAGUUUCGGCUGUGUUAUAGCUCUCUGCUGGAUACAUCUUGGGGGACUGAGGAACGCAGUGUGCCUUUGGCGGGGGUUUCGACCUCUUCACACUUAGGAUGCUGGUGGAAUGGCUUUAAACGACCCGUCUUGAAACACGGACCAAGGAGUCUAACAUGCUUGCGAGUAUUUGGGUGUCAAACCCGGAUGCGUAAUGAAAGUGAAUGGAGGUGGGAACCGCAAGGUGCACCAUCGACCGAUCUGGAUUUUUAAUGAUGGAUUUGAGUAAGAGCACGUAUGUUGGGACCCGAAAGAUGGUGAACUAUGCCUGAAUAGGGCGAAGCCAGAGGAAACUCUGGUGGAGGCUCGUAGCGGUUCUGACGUGCAAAUCGAUCGUCAAAUUUGGGUAUAGGGCGAAA